GUGUUAAUAUUAAAAUACGAAGUCGGACCUGCCCAGUGAAUUUUAAACGGCCGCGGUACUCUGACCGUGCAAAGGUAGCAUAAUCAUUUGCCUUAUAAUUGAAGGCUGGAAUGAAUGGUUUGACAAGAAUACACCUGUCUCUUUUAGAUUAUUUAGAAUUUUAUUUCUGGAUGAAAAAGUCCAGAUAGUAUUAAAAGACAAGAAGACCCUAUCGAGCUUUAGAAAAGUUAGUAGACUUAAUGCAAAUUAAUAUAAGUAAAAAAAGCUAUUAAAUAUUUUGGUUGGGGCAACCGAGGAGCAGACAAAGCCUCCUCUAAAUUGUAAAUCUUACUUGUGUUGAUCCAGAAAUUUUGAUCAAAGGAAUUAGUUACCGUAGGGAUAACAGCAUUAUCUUUUUCAAGAGCCCAUAUCGAAAAAAAGGUUUGUGACCUCGAUGUUGGACCAGAAUAUCCUAAAGAUGCAGAAGUCUUUAAGGGUUGGUCUGUUCGACCAUUAAAAUUCUA
This 503-nucleotide ribosomal RNA is filed under the name Conus pineaui. RNAcentral's name for it is "partial 16S ribosomal RNA". It matches the Rfam family "Bacterial large subunit ribosomal RNA", at positions 1831 to 2598 of the family's 2925-position model. Lineage: Eukaryota; Metazoa; Mollusca; Gastropoda; Neogastropoda; Conidae. The record is from RNAcentral.